GCAGAGAGUGGCGCAGUGGAAGCGUGCUGGGCCCAUAACCCAGUGAUGGUCCUGAAGAUCACUUCAAAACCCUUGUCUUCUGCU
Desmophyllum pertusum is the source of this 84-nucleotide non-coding RNA. Lineage: Eukaryota; Metazoa; Cnidaria; Anthozoa; Scleractinia; Caryophylliidae. The record is from the annotation of a GenBank genome assembly.